Bacillus sp. FJAT-27231 is the source of this 102-nucleotide non-coding RNA. The record is from Rfam. Lineage: Bacteria; Bacillati; Bacillota; Bacilli; Caryophanales; Bacillaceae.
ACGAAAGUCAAAGGGGAGUAGCGUUAGGUAUUUUACCUAAAACAAAGUCGUCAAUUCAUGGAUCGUAUCCAUCGGCUUUGUUGACAUGAGUGUAAGCAUGUC